GAACGCGAAAGGGAGCAAUCCCCGGUAGCGUGGCAGACGGGUGAGUAACACGUGGGCAAUCUACCCGGAGGUGGGGGAUAACCCUUCGAAAGGAGGGCUAAUACCGCAUGACAUCUCGGGAUCCUCGGAUCCUGCGAUCAAAGCUGGCCUCUGUUUACAAGCUAGCGCCACCGGAUGGGCCCGCGCCCCAUUAGCUAGUUGGUGAGGUAACGGCUCACCAAGGCAACGAUGGGUAGCCGGCCUGAGAGGGCGAUCGGCCACACUGGAACUGCGACACGGUCCAGACUCCUACGGGAGGCAGCAGUGAGGAAUAUUGCGCAAUGGACGAAAGUCUGACGCAGCGACGCCGCGUGGAGGAUGAAGGUCUUCGGAUUGUANACUCCUGUCGAGUGGGACGAAUGCCGCGAGGGUGAACAUCCUCGUGGUUGACGGUACCGCUGGAGGAAGCCCCGGCUAACUCCGUG
This 464-nucleotide ribosomal RNA is filed under the name uncultured bacterium. Its description in RNAcentral is "bacterial SSU rRNA". It matches the Rfam family "Bacterial small subunit ribosomal RNA", at positions 64 to 507 of the family's 1533-position model. The record is from RNAcentral.